AUGUCUGUCUGCCUGUCCUGCUAUGUGAACUUGAGGCUAGCACACUGGGGAGGGCGCAAUCCUGGGUGGCAGAGCGCUUUCUGGUGCACACAUGUCUGUUGGGCCUACUUAAGUUUACCUGUAGGCAGGGCAGCUGGUCCCCAGAGGCAUCUGGGUGCAGCCUCAUUUUCAAGGGAGUCCCAGGGUUUCUGGCUUCUCCUUGUGUUAAACCUGGCUCUGCUGUUGAGUAGACUGCAGAGAGCAGGGCCUCUAGCCUCAGUGGGGAUCUCAUACUCCCAUGUCACUGAGUGGUCAGGACACAGUGAGAGACCCACGCAAAGACAGAGGCCUGCAGGGGCUCACCCCUCAGCUGUUCAUACUCACCUCUCCCCACAACAGCCCAGGGCUUGCAUCUCUUUCCUCUGCCCUCUCUGUCCCCUGUGCUGGGGCAGCCUGCCUCUCUAGGACCCUACAGUUCAUCAGGGCAUCAGGCUGCACCACUAGACAUGGUGAGAAUACCCUCAGCUCAGCUUCCUGGGGGUGGGCUCUAGCCAUUAGACCCCAGGACCUGGAACUAGACAUGACCAUGAGCUCAUGACCUUGAGAUGGGGACAUCGGCUGUCCUGAGUGGUGGACACUCCACUCUGUGCCCUCCCAGUGCUGGGGAGCACAGAAUCCCUGGGGCCCUCCCUGCCAAGGCAGCCAAACUGAGCUGCCUGGCAUUCUGCAGGACAGGUGCACCCAGUGCCACCCAUUCCCUCCAGUUGGCCUGACCUGGGCCCCAGGCUGGCAGGUGUGCAGGGUGCACAGGCAGCAGGUGAUCUGGGACAAUAUCCAGAGGGACAGUCAUGGGGCCAGUGCUGUCAGUGGGUGUGAUCCAGGCCAUUCCCAGGAACACACACAGGUCAGCAUUCCAGUGCCCCAGCUUCCUCCUCCACAGGCAUCCCUCAGCCCCAGUGGAUCAGCUGAGAAGCCCGUUGUCGCUCCCCGUCUUUGUGGAGGAACGACACAGGACCCUGCGCUGUUCUUUCGUCUGCUCGGCCCUCCCCGGGUUUGCUGCUGGUUCUUCCCGGGUUGGCUACCGACCCUUCCACCUCCGUGGAAGGGCGGUUCCCCCUGCCACAUUCCCCACUUACGCGGGGGAGUGGCACACCGCCGGCCAGCUCUCUCGGGGGCUGCACAGGUGUUCCUUCAGAUAGAUGUUCCCCUUAGAUGUUCCUGGUGCAUGUUGUCUCUCUCCUCCUUUAUAGUCCUCUUCCACCAAUCCCAACUCUGCUACCCACACGCUGAGUACGCUGCUCUCCUCCAAUCAGGAGUAGGUCCUACAGUUUAUUGGUCGAACUGGAGGCAGCUGUGUAGAAGCUGUUUCUCCCUUCUCAGCGCAAUAUUGUGGGAGAGCAGAUGCAUAGAAUACGUCUUAAUUCCAGUAACUUAUUCUAGUCCAAGUUGCUCCCCACACCCGUUAAGUAAAUCCCUGUGACUAUGAUCUCUUGGAGAUAGUCCUACCCUUCCCACUCCUUCCUGGCCUGCUGUGCUGCCCUCUUGUUUGCCCACAGGGUCCUCGGGCCCCGACAGUCUGGGCUUACAGUGGGGAGGGGAGUCCUCAUGUGGGAUCAGCACAGCCGUGACCUGGGUGGGGCCCCCCCAAGGGGUUCCUCAUCUGCAAAUGGGGAGUGAUAGCAGUGCCUCCCCAUGGCUGAGACAUGGUCACCCGUGUGCCUGGCCAGGGGCUGGGAAAUCCCAGGAGCUCGGGGAAAGAGCAGUCACUGUGCUUGGGGAUAUCCUCUGUGUCUCCAUGUUCCCAGCCAAGACCCACCCAUGUCACCUGCACACCAGGCAGUCUGGGGCACAUGGGGUCCCAGACAAGGCCCCCCUGUCUCCUGAGCAGUGAGCAAAACCCUGCUCGGAUCCUUCUGCCAGUGACCCAUUGUUGAGUGCAGGGACAGAGACUGUGACAGCUUCUGUGUGUAUGUGUGGCCCCAGGACCCAAACUGUGCCUUCAGUGUAAGAACCCUUUCCCUUUCUUGUGUACUCCUCAUACUGGAAGCAGGGGGCCCAAUGUGUGCAGGGAGGUGUAGAGCAUCGCAUUCCCUGUGCCGGUGAUAGCUGUGGGCAGGGCUGCCUUCCCAUCUCACAGAUGAGGACACUGAGGCUGCAGGGAGAACACCCACUGCAGGUCAGAUCUGUGACCUCAGAGUCCGCGUCCCUGACCAUGAGGAGGCGCCGCCACAGCCCUGCAAGCAUCUCCCUGUUCUUUGCUUUCCUUGGCCAUCCCAGCACUUGGUGCUCUUUGUCCAAAUGGGGAACCCUGGCUCUGCCCCUGGGGAAGUGCCAGUGUCCUCUGCAGGGGAUCCAGGUCCCUGGCAUUGGGGCCAUGGUGCAGGGAGAGUGGGGUGGGGAGGGCACAGUAUGGGGAGUUUGCAUGGUGUGAAUUGCACACUUCGCAGUGGGUAAUCAAUUAAAUUUUAUUUUGGUAAAGCAACAAUAAGGUGGAGACAAGGAACACAAUGGGGAGGAUUAAAGAGAAAUACAGGAACACCGGGGUGGGGAAGGGCAGGUGUGGCACUGGGGCUGAAGCAAAAGGGACUUGCAGAGCUGGGGCUGAGGCCUGGGCCAGUGCUGUCUCUGGUGCUCCUGCAGCUUUCUUGGCUGCAGCUGGGGACACAGCUGUCCCCCACUCAUCUUUGGAGGGCCAUGACUGCUCCAGUGGGGGUGUUGCUUGAAGGUCAUGGCUCUGCUUCGCCCCAGCUGUCAGGUCAGGUUCCAAGCCCAGCCCUGAGCUUGCUUCCCAUCUGGAACUGGUGAAGCCGUCGUGCCCCAGUGCCUCCACUGUGAAAUGGGCAUUUGCGGACCCCCUGGGCUCUAUCUGGGCCUUUACCAAGAUUAAGUGACUGAGGGGGGCCUCAGGUGGCUUGUGUGCCCGGUGGAACGCCCGAUACAUGAGCGUUGGAGUUGUGGGUGAGUUUGACCACUCCCCCACUACACACAGCUCAUCAGUUUUAGUUGGCCUACGGUUGUCUGGGCUGCUUGCGAUCCCCAGCCCGCUGUGUUGUGCCAGGCGCGAGGGUGCCCUGUCCUGGACCUGGGAGACAAGAGCAGAGAAUGGCAGGUCAUCAGUGAAAGGGGCCUGACACACGUCCUGCCUGCUGGCGAUCCGCAGCCUUCUGUGCAUUGCCAGGCGCGAGGCUGACCUGUCCUGGCCCUGGGAGACAAGAGCAGAGAAUGGCAGGUCAGGGGUGCAAAGAAUUGAGCCAUCUUCUGCUUUCCCAGAGAGCUGUAUCUGAAGUGGAGCAGCCAGGACUUGAACUGGUGCCCAUAAGGGAUGGUUGCACUGCAGGUACAAGUAUUUUCAGUCAUCUUGAGUAUGAGCUAGGAAUGGAGUAGCUGAGUCCGACAGUAACUCUUCAUAUCUCCAUUUGGGGACAACUGCUUGAACACUACAGUGGCUGCACCAUUUCACACUCUCACCAUCAAUGGGUUUCAUUUUAGAAUUCAUGAGGUGAAAAACUAAAUGAGAGGUGUGGAGGCUCAUUUUCUGUCAUGGUCAUUGGAUGUUUAGAGCAUCAUUUGCUGUGUUUGUCGUCUGCCCAGGAUGUUCCCACCACCAGGGAAAUACAGAAGACUUUCCAGGUCAUCAGUUUUAGUUGGCCUACGGUUGUCUGGGCUGCUUGAGAUCCCCAGCCCGCUGUGCUGUGCCAGGUGCGAGGCUGCCCUGUCCUGGACCUGGGAGACAAGAGCAGAGAAUGGCAGCUCCAGGAGCAUCGGGGGUGAGGGCUGGCCCAGCGUCCCCACCACUGGGCGAGGCGCCCACAGCAGGGUUUCUUGGGGCCUGGGCUUCGGCAUCGCGGGAUACAACUCAGGAACAUCUUGCUACGAGACUCUAUCCAGUCACCACAGCUGAGAGCAGAGAAGUUCCUUGUCUCUCCUGCACCCCGGAUGGCUCCUUGGAGAGCCCCUGUCAGACCUCAGACUGCUGCUCAACAGGGCGCCACGUUGAAUGUCAGGUUCCUGGUUACAACUUGCGGUUUCAGUCUCAUCUGAGUUGAAGUCUUGGCCCAGACGUGUGCUGGCUGAGGUGUUGUUGGCAGGACAUUUUAGUAUCCGUCCAGAUCCAUGUGUAACGGGCUGCCUCUUCAGCUCUGAAUGUGUGAAGAUCCAGAGGUUCACAGACACCGGGACCAUGAUCCUUUUAUCCUUGUCAUUUUGAAGGGAGAGUCUCCAGGAGCGGUAGGGUGUCACCAAUCAGUUGUGCUCCCUCUGGGAGUUUCCCGGGGUGCCACCAAUCUGUUGUUUAGGACAGGGUGUAUCUGCAGUAUUCCUGGGGUGCAGCCAAUCCCUGUGCGAGUAGGAAGGUAACUUGAGGUUGUCGUCUGUAGCAUACAGGUUAUCAGACUGCCCAGGGAUGUCUGUUCAGUCUGAUGAGGAGCAUCUUUCUGGCAAGCGCUGAGCUUGACAUAAGUGAUGUCAUCAGCUUCUGGCUUAGCAUAAGUGACUCCAUUUUUAUUUCCUGUUUUUGCUUGUUUGUGGGCAGCAGUGAGCUAUAACUCUUUUUGGGCUACCAGUGGCUUUCUCCACAGUCCAGAGCCUUUUAUUCAUUGUGUGGGCCGUGAUCUGUGACUCAUUUUUGGGAGUCCUGUGGGAUUCUCCUCAGUGGUAUCCAUAGCACUUCAUUAGAGUCUGUUGCAUUUCUGGGUGAGUGCUUACCUCAGGGCCAGGCCAUGCUAAGGGCUGUGCUGGUGUUUGCUGUGGGUGUUUUGCCCGAGUGAGGCAGAGGAGGUGGCAGGGCCUCUGGGGACAGCAAGCCCGGUGUUGGGGAGAGGAAGAGGAGCGAUCUCUGCUGAAGGGUGGGAGCACUCAUGGGGGAAGCAGUCAGGCUGGGUAGGAACACUGGGCUGGAGAGUGGUGGUCUUGGGAGCUGAGCUGAAGGGGGUCCACCCAGCAUGCUGGGAGUCUGAGCAGGGGUCAGCUGGCAUUGAGUGCAGUAGGAUGCUGGUCAGGUGUGUGUGAGUGGGGAGCAGGGCUUCACUUGGGAGCCUUGGCUCAGAAUCUUCCUCCUUCAGACCUCAGACUCUUUCCAGUCUCACCAGGACAGUCACUCCCCAGUCUCCACUGCGGUCUGUGUCUGCAGCCCACGGCAGGAGAUUUGGGGGUCACCACCGAAUAACUUGUGGGCCCUGGGUCACCAGGCUCAGUUCCUGUAGGGAGCAAGCCCCCAGCGGAUCAGGAGCUGUGUCUCAUGUGUGGACACUCAGGGCUGCUGCCUCCUGAGUCUCUUGCUGUUGUCCUGUGGGCCAUUUGGCAUCUGUAGUCUGGACGUGGAGGCAUGAGAAUGACCUGAAUGUGCAGGGUUUGUGGAGAGAAUGACGGGAGGAACAGACUCAAGUUUUUGGUCUUCGUCCACCUGCUGUAUUACUUAGGGAAGGACAAGUGUCGAUAUUAACCAAAGUACAGGGUGCACUUGGAGGAGCUAGGCCAUGGAGGGAGCUGGCUGAGGAGGCAGGGCUGGGUGUGUAGGAGGGGUAGGGGGUGAGUGCUGGGUGUGCAUCCUGUUGGCGAUGCGUGACUUCCUCCCGUAGGGUUCUCCCUGAAGGGCUGACAAGAACAUGGCUGCGCUGCCCUUGCGCUCUGUGAUUCUUCCAUAUCCUUUUGUUGUGUUGAGAACCCUGCAUGGGAAAUCUGCCAUCUGAGGCUCAUCUGCAUCUCUAGAAUUUCUAAAUCUUAAAAAAAAAAGAUUUAUUUCUUAUUUUGAAAGUCACAGUUCCAGAAAAAGGAGAGACAGAGAGAGCUAUCUUCCAUCUGUUGGUUCACUCCCAAGAUGGUGGCAGUGGCUUCCCUGGUCCAAGCUGAAGCCAGGUACUUCUGCCCAGUACCCUGUGUGUGUUGCAGGGGCACAGGUACUUGGGCCAUCUUCCUCUGCUUUUUGCAGACCACUUGCAGGGAGCUGGAUUGGAAUUGGAGCAGCCAGGACAGGAACCAGUGCCCACAUGGGAUGUGAGGGUUUGCAGGCUGUGGCUUUAUCCAGUGCACCACAACACGGGCCCCGUUUCCAGAACUUCUUCAUCUCCCAGCCUCCUGCUUUUUCUGGAUCCUGGAUGGAAGUCUUUCUUUGUUGUCCAAGACGACUGCCUCAGUCACGUGAGCACUGGUGUUGGUUGAGUGUCCCCAGUGUGCUUUCCGCGGUUGUUCUGACAGCACGAGAGGACGGAUUGCAUUUUUGAUUCCCUGGGAAGAUUAUCCAGGGUGAUCUCGUACCUGUGAAGGAGGGUAGUGAACCAAGGGUUAAGUCAGCAGGCUGUAGUGAAUCCUCUUUUGUCCUGUGGACAUCUUUAGAACGUUUUUGGGGAAAAAAAUUGACCUGAUCCUUGGCAGUAUUCUUAAACUGCUUACAUAUAUAGAAAUGAAGUGAGUUUUCAUCUCUGUAAUGGGGAACCUGUUUAUAAAGGGGACAUGUAUUUUUAUAGAAACAGAUUUGAAAGUGCCCAAGUUAAGCAUUGUGUAUUUGUAUGCAGUUAAUAUUUAGAAUAUAUCUGUUGCAAUUUAUAUGGUUAACAUUCUCAUAGAUGGGGCGUGCACUGUGGCUCAGUGGGUUAAAUCCCUGGGCUGCAGUGCCUGCAUCCCAUAUGGGUGCUGCACUUCGAGUCCAGCUCCCUGCUAAUGUGCCUGGGACAGGCAGCCGAGGAUGGCAGAAGUCGUUGGGCCCCUGCACCCAUGUGGGAAACCUGGAAGGAGCUCCUGGCUCCUGGCUUCAUGUUGGCUCAGCUCUGGCUUUUGCAGUCAUUUAGGGAGCGACCUAGUGGGAUGACCUCUCUCUCUUGGCCUCUGCAUCUCUUCAUAACUCUAUCAAAUAAACCAAAUAAAUCUUUAAAAGAAAUAGUACCCAUAGGAAAAAAGUAAAGUGGAAGCUCAUUUCACCAGUGCACCUAAUAAUUUCGCAUUCUUGGUCAGAAUACAAAGUAAAUUGAGGAUGUCAAGGUACAGAUGGUUAAGCCUCCCCUUGGGGCAACCCCAUUUCUUAUCUGGGUGCCAGGUGAAGACCUGGCUGCCCUGCUUCUGAUCCAGCUCCUCUUGGAUGCACUGAGAGGGAGCAUUCGGUGACUUGAGUCCCUGGGCCUCUGAUACCCACAUGGGAGACGCAGAUGGAGUUUCUGGCUCCUGGCUUCACCUGGUCCUGUCUUGGUGGUUGUGUGCAUUUGGGAAGUGCACCAGUUAAUGGGAGACUUCUCUCCGUGUGUCUCUCUCUCUACCUUUCAAGUAGGUGAAAAUAAGUAGACAUUUCUUUGACUGUAUUUUUUCUUAUUAUUUGGAGGUUUGCAGUUUUAUUAAGAAAAAGAUGAAGGCAAACCAAACUGAAAGGCGGAGUCUCCAUUCAGCAGCGCCUGAGUGUACCGGACAUCCAGAGUGGCACAUAGGGUUGCGAGUGGGCUCUGUGCUGUCCUGUUGGCAUAUGAGUGCCCUGACACCCAGGACCAGCUGCCUGUGUCCUCCCUCAGCCUGUACGGCUCAUCGGGAUCAGUGGGAGCGGACAGCAGGCUGAGUAGUGCACAGGCCAAGGAAGGCAGUCUGGGACCCUGACUGAGACAGGAUGGUGAGGGUUGUCCAGCCAUGGGAAUGUUGUUAACGUAGCUGAGCUGCAUGCUCUAAAAUUCUGUGUUUUGUGGACUCUGCUCGAUUAAAGGAAGCAAACAGGUGUUGUAUCAGGUCUGGCCCGCAGGUGCUGGGAUAGUGACAUCUGGGGACAUCUCCUCGCUGGCAUGGGUCUGCCGUGCAUCCUGGAGACUCCUGUCCAGGCCUUGGGUCUGCGGAUCUUUCACCACUGUCACUUCUGCUCCAGCCUCAUUUCUCUGCUUACUGAGCCUUGAUGUCUCACGGUGUGGCUCCCUGACUGGAGGGCACACCUUUGGAUCUUCUUGAUGGCAGCCUGAGAGGGGCUGAGCUAUUUUGCAUCCUGGGAGGCGUCUCCGUCCAGGCUCCCUGCUCCUUGGCAGCACAACCUACCUACUGGGGGCCCCCUUCUGCUUCUACCUGGACAGCCUGACCUGCUCUCCUCCUGGCUCCUACUGCCCAGCCCCCUACCCCAGGAUACCUUCCCAUGCCCCACGGGUGACACCUGAUCCUGGGUCUCAACCCACAGUGUCAUUCUCCUGUAGUAUCCCAUUGUGGGACAGACUCUGCAGCUGUGGUGGAGGGCCCUGAAUCAGCGACUGUGUCACUGUAAAGGGAGACGAUGUGUGUGACACUGAGUGAGGCAGCCAGGGCCUGAGGGGACCUGACAUUCACCUGGACUUGAUUAAGAACCUGACCGUACAUCAGCUCACCCCACAGGAGCUUCCGAGCAAACCACCCAGGCCAGGUAUAAAACAGGGAUGCAGCCCUACAGCCACAAGGAACUGAGACGGCAGCACACCAGAUGGCACCAUGUAACCUCAGGAGAGACCUUGAGCCUGUAGCACUCAGGCUCCUGACCUGCAGAUGUGGCGAAAACCUGGGACUUCCAAGUACUUGGGCCAUUUUCUGCUGCCUCCAGACACAUCAGCAAGGAGCUGGAUCAGAAGUGGAGCAUUAGGGACUUGAACUUGUGCCCAUUUGGGAUGCUUGCCAGGCAGGUGGUGGCUUUACCUGCCAUGUCACAACAUUGGCUCCUGAAUUUUUUUUCUGAGUAUUAGGUCUCUUUUUUUUUUAAAGAUUUAUUUAUUUAUUUGAAAGGCAGAGUUUCAGAGAGGCAGAGGCAGAGAGAGAGAAGUCUUCCAACCACUGUGGUUCAGUCCUCAGAUAGCUCCAACAACUGGAGCUGGGUCGAUUGGAAGCCAGGAACCAGGAGCUUCCUCUGUGUCUCCCAUUCAGGUGCAGGGGCACAAGGACUUGAGCCAUCAUCUGCAUUCCCAGAGAGCUGGAUCAGAGUGGAACAGCUGGGACUUGAACCGGUGCCCAUAAGGGAUGGUGGCACUGCAGGCAGUGGUGCAGGCUGUUGGAUUUGUUUUUAAAAGCUUUGUUGCAGGAGGGUUUGUGGCACAGGAGGUCAAAUUGCCAGCUUGGAUGCCUGUAUCCCCCAUGAGGGUGCUGGGUUUGGCUGCCAGUAUUCUGCUUCCAAUCCAGCUUCCCACUGACGUGUCUCUGGGGGGCACAGGCAGUGGCUCGAGCACUUGGGUCCCUGCCACCAAUGAGAGCUCCACCUCUCUUUCUGCUUUUCAAGUCAAAUGAAAAUUGAUGAAAAAAUUUAAAAAACAGUUUCUUUGUCCACUGAGUAAAGAUUGUCCAUGGGGUCCUGGUUCCUAGCUGUGGAGAUUGUGCCUCCUUAAGGGACACUGUGGUUGGCCCAACUGGGAGGUGCUCCUGGCUUGGGUCAGGUGGUUGCCAGAGAUGCUGCCCCUCACCCUGCAGUGCCCAGAGUGCCCCGGAGCAAGAACAAUCUGGGUCCAGUGCCUAGGGGAGAGCCCCUAGGUCUGGGGUACAGGAGUGGAACCAGGAGAUUAAUGAGGAGCUGGAGAGACAGGGUGUGAUCUGGACUCUGCCAUGAGAGGUGACGUGGCUUUAUGUGGAUUCCCUGUCCCAUGCCUCAAUUUCCCUGCUACAAAAUGGGCAUAGUAGCCCCCUCCUCAUUUUUUUCAGGAUUGCAGAAGGUGAUUCUGUCAUAUCCUGAUACCUGAGUCUCUGCACCUGUACCCUCAUAGCUGCUGCGGCCGCCGUUACUGAGUGUCAGUGCAUGAGGACAGGGAACUGGGGCGGGAUCUCCCUUCCCAGCAUCCCUAGAACUUCACCAAGGUCAUCUUAUCUGGGUCCUUGGUUUUUAGGGCUUAGGAUUGCAUGAGUUCAGACCUGAGUGUAACCUGAGCUUGUGGGGAAUCACAGGGUUAGGACUGGUCCUGUCCAUGGUGUGAUCACCCUGGACUUUCAUCUUUGUUGGUUGGCCCUGCAGGAAGUGAGCAGAGGGGUGGAAAGCCCUUGCUCCCCACCUCCACCUCCUCUGUCCCCCGAGUUCACUGGGCUUGUUCCUGCGGGGAAGCAAAUGCCACACUGCGGGGCUGUGUCUGCCUUCUUAGGGAGAUACACAGCCUUGUCCUCUCCCACGCAGCAGAAGCACAGAGACUCCUGCUCCGUCAGCUGUGACUCAUACUAGUCCGUCUCUGUCCACUGCCCUCGUCCCUUCCUCCUGGCCUCUGACAACUGCCGUUGUGCCCUGAGCCUCCAGGGCAUCACCACUUUGCAGAUUCCACAUGUGAGUGAGGUCAUGUGGUGUUUGUCUUUCUGUGCUUGGUUGAUUUCACUUAACCCAGUGAUUUCCAGAUCCUCCCAUGGUACCACAAAUGACAAGAUUUCAACCUUUUUUAUAGCUGAGUAGUAUUCCUAUGUGCACACGUACCCCUUUUUUUCUUUUUCCAUCCAUGGCGGAUGGAUGUGUAGGUUGUUUGCAUGCCUUAGCUACUGGGAACAGGACUGCAGUAAAAUUGGGGGCACAGAUCUCUCUUCCACAGACUGACUUCCUUCCCCUUUAUUGUACACUGGCAGUAGGGUUGGUGGAGUGGAUGGUAGGUCUAGUUUCUGUUUAUUGAGCAACUUCCUUACUCUUUACCACAUCUACAUUCCCACCCACAGAAUGCCAAGUGUUCCCUCCCCUCCACACACAUCCUCACUAGUUAUCGUUCAUUCCUUUGGUAUCCUAUUGUGGUUUUGCUUUGUAUCUCUCUGAGAUCAGUGAUGAGCACUUUUGUCCCGUAUUUCACAUUAUAAGUAGUUCCCUUGAGUGCUGUGGAACAGGAGAAUCACUGACAUGUCUUACUUUAAGGAAUGUCUAUUUCCGAGGCCAGCACUGUGGCGCAGCGAGUUGAUAUCCUGGCCUAAAGUGCUGGCAUCCCAUGUGGGCGCUGGUUCGAGACCUGGCUUUCCAUUUCUGAUCCAGCUAUAUGCUAUGGUGUGGGAAAGCUGUAGAGGAUGGCCUAGUUCCUUGGGUUCCUGCACCCACGUAGGGGACCCAGAGGAAGCUCCUAGCUCCUGGCUUCGGAUCGGCGCAGCCCCGGCUGUCGCUACCAACUGGGGAGUGAACCAUCGGAUGGGAGUCCUUUCUUUCUCUGCCUCUCCCCUCUCUGUGUAACUCUGAUUUGCAAGUAAAUAUAUAGAUCUUUUUUUUUUUAAAAAAAAGAAAUGUCUAUUUCUAACUGAGACUCUUAAGUCUGACUUAUUUGUUGUUUCUUGUUUUUGCUGUUUAGUUGUUUUUAUGUUGACUUUACUAACAGCUAUGUCAGAUGGAUGGCUUGUAGACAUUGUUUCUUUGCUGUACAAAAGCUGUUUAAUUUGGUGAAAUCCCAUUUGUCUGCUGGUUGGCUUUGUUUCCUAUGCUCUUGGGGUCUGAUCUAAGAAAUCCUUGCCCAUGGCACUGUCCGGAAGCAGUUCCCCUGUGUUUUCUUCUAAUUGUUUCAAAGGCUCAGAUCUUACAUUUCAGUUUGUCUUCUGUUUUCUUUACUUUUCACAGAUUUAUUUAUUUAUUUUAAAGUCAGAAGUACACAGAGAAGGUUAGGCAGAGAGAAAGUAGUUGUCCAUCCACUGGUUCACUCCCCAGAUGGCCACAAUGGCCAUGGCUGUGCUGAUCCAAAGCCAAGAUCCAGGAGCUUCCUCCAGGUCAGCCACGAGGGUGCAGGAGCCCAAGGACUUGUGCCAUCUUUUACUGCUUUCCUGGACCACAGGUGAGAGCUAGAUUGGUAGAGGAGCAGCUGGGACUACACCAGCACUCAUCCGGGAAGCUGGUAUUGCUGACGGAGGCUUUACCCGGUCCCUUCAUUUCUUUUUUGAAACCAGUAUGAAUAACCCACAGCAUUGAUGAGUAUGUUCUGUGCUCAUUGGUACCAUGUUUUCUUCUAGGUGCAUUUCAUUUAAUAAAUUUGUUCUUCCCAACAGUGGUAUAGGUUCUGUGUUGCAGUUGAGGCUCCCCAGGCACAAAGCCUAAGCAGUGCAGAGGCCUAGUGUCCCAGAGCAGGAUUUGGCCUCUGGGCUGUAAGUCAGGGACUGCCACUGAAUCCAGACCUCAUGUUAACUGCCCUGGAUGGUGAAGAUACUGCUCUGUCUCUCCCCUCUGCCAGGCUCUGUGCUGUGAGAUCCUCUUCCAGUCUCCAAGAAGACCUUGACCUCAGCAUCCUUCUGGCCCUAGGGUGGUCAACUGGCAUGAUGUCCACACAAGUGAAGGAACAGUUGCUUCUGGAUCACUCAGAUCACUUUCUGUGGACAGGUUUCUUGACCUACAAUUGACAGAACAUGAUGUAUGUCCUCUUGUGUCCAUGUCAGUGACUUUAAUAUAUGUAUAGGCUGUGUAGCCAUCAGCACAGUGUAGCUGUGGAACAUUCCCCAAACACUUAAAGAACCUCCUGCCUAUUGGCACUCAGUUCUCAGUCCCGCCUCCAGGCCCUUGAGACACAUGUCUACUCACUUUCACAAA
Non-coding RNA from Oryctolagus cuniculus (rabbit), 12400 nucleotides. The record is from RefSeq and is a predicted model, not a curated record. Lineage: Eukaryota; Metazoa; Chordata; Mammalia; Lagomorpha; Leporidae.